CCUCCUGUGGCCCAGUGAGCCCACUUUUCUGCAGGUUCUAUUGUGCUGGUUUCCUAGGAUACAUUUCACAUCAUUUCUGACACACACAGAAUUACUCCUCAAACAGAGCAGCGUGGAAACCAGUAGUAUUUGAAACACACAGCAUUAAAAUUAGUCGUUUCAAAGAUACCUGAGUAACUUCGCAGAGGGAGUGACAGAGACCAAAAUUUCGGCUCCUAAUUUGCUCAGAUCUUUUACAUCUGCUGGACGAUAACACCAAGUACAGUUUCUGCAUCCAUAGUUGUUUGGGGAUGUUCAUGUCUGGUUGGAGAAGCAGAAGAGGUAAUUCUGGUGACUCAGGAGAGAAAGACAGACUCCCUGAAGAAGUGUUGAAGCUGGCAGCACUCAGAAAAAUGUAGAAGAUUGGUACCAUAAUUAAGUGCUGAUCAAGCAGACUGGUAUUAUGCAGAUAAACAAUACUGUAACUUAUCUUCAUAAAUAUGGCAGGAAUGCCAGUGUCAGUGACACACAUAAGAAACUCCAGAUCCAGGGAACAAAGAUGGUGGUGCUUAUAAUGCUAAUUCAGCAUU
Long non-coding RNA from Cygnus olor (mute swan), 569 nucleotides. RefSeq lists it as uncharacterized. The record is from RefSeq and is a predicted model, not a curated record. NCBI's taxonomy places the organism in Eukaryota, Metazoa, Chordata, Aves, Anseriformes, Anatidae. The transcript has 4 exons.